AAUCUUCCACAAUGGGCGAAAGCCUGAUGCAGCAACGCCGCGUGAGUGAUGAAGGACUUCGGGUCGUAAAACUCUGUUGUAAGGGAAGAACAAGUACAUUCGUAACUGGCUGUACCUUGACGGUACCUUAUUAGAAAGCCACGGCUAACUACGUGCCAGCAGCCGCGGUAAUACGUAGGGGCCAAGCGUUGUCCGGAAUUAAUGGGCGUAAAGGGCGCGGAGGUGGUUUCUUAAGUCUGAUGGGAAAGCCCACGGCUCAACCGUAGAAGGUCAUUGGAAACUGGGAGACUUGAGUGCAGAAGAGGAUAGUGGAAAUCCAAGUGUAGCGGUGAAAUGCGUAGAGAUUUGGAGGAACACCAGUGGCGAAGGCGACUAUCAGGUCUGUAACUGACACUGAGGCGCGAAAGCGUGGGGAGCAAACAGG
RNAcentral lists this ribosomal RNA (424 nucleotides) under uncultured bacterium. Its description in RNAcentral is "partial 16S ribosomal RNA". It matches the Rfam family "Bacterial small subunit ribosomal RNA", at positions 360 to 776 of the family's 1533-position model. The record is from RNAcentral.